RNAcentral lists this ribosomal RNA (497 nucleotides) under uncultured bacterium. RNAcentral's name for it is "partial 16S ribosomal RNA". It matches the Rfam family "Bacterial small subunit ribosomal RNA", at positions 28 to 507 of the family's 1533-position model. The record is from RNAcentral.
GAUGAACGCUGGCGGCGUGCCUAAUACAUGCAAGUCGAGCGAACAGACGAGGAGCUUGCUCCUCUGACGUUAGCGGCGGACGGGUGAGUAACACGUGUAUAACCUACCUAUAAGACUGGGAUAACUUCGGGAAACCGGAGCUAAUACCGGAUAAUAUAUUGAACCGCAUUGUUCAAUAGUGAAAGACGGUUUUGCUGGCACUUAUAGAUGGAUCCGCGCCGCAUUAGCUAGUUGGUAAGGUAACGGCUUACCAAGGCAACGAUGCGUAGCCGACCUGAGAGGGUGAUCGGCCACACUGGAACUGAGACACGGUCCAGACUCCUACGGGAGGCAGCAGUAGGGAAUCUUCCGCAAUGGGCGAAAGCUUGACGGAGCAACGCCGCGUGAGUGAUGAAGGUCUUCGGAUCGUAAAACUCUGUUAUUAGGGAAGAACAAAUGUGUAAGUAACUAUGCACGUCUUGACGGUACCUAAUCAGAAAGCCACGGCUAACUACGUG